UGGGGAAUAUUGGACAAUGGGCGCAAGCCUGAUCCAGCCAUACCGCGUGGGUGAAGAAGGCCUUCGGGUUGUAAAGCCCUUUUGUUGGGAAAGAAAUNCAGCCGGCUAAUACCUGGUUGGGAUGACGGUACCCAAAGAAUAAGCACCGGCUAACUUCGUG
This 160-nucleotide ribosomal RNA is filed under the name uncultured bacterium. Its description in RNAcentral is "partial 16S ribosomal RNA". It matches the Rfam family "Bacterial small subunit ribosomal RNA", at positions 355 to 507 of the family's 1533-position model. The record is from RNAcentral.